Molecule: ribosomal RNA, 466 nt
Filed under: uncultured bacterium
Lineage: Bacteria
Description: partial 16S ribosomal RNA
Rfam family: Bacterial small subunit ribosomal RNA
Source: RNAcentral
GACGAACGCUGGCGGCGUGCUUAACACAUGCAAGUCGAACGGAAAGGCCCUGCUUGCAGGGUACUCGAGUGGCGAACGGGUGAGUAACACGUGGGUGAUCUGCCCUGCACUUCGGGAUAAGCUUGGGAAACUGGGUCUAAUACCGGAUAGGAGCCAUCUUUAGUGUGGUGGUUGGAAAGUUUUUUCGGUGUAGGAUGAGCUCGCGGCCUAUCAGCUUGUUGGUGGGGUAAUGGCCUACCAAGGCGGCGACGGGUAGCCGGCCUGAGAGGGUGUACGGUCAAAGUGGGACUGAGAUACGGACCAGACUCCGACGGGAGGCAGCAGUGGGGAAUAUUGCACAAUGGGCGCAAGCCUGAUGCAGCGACGCCGCGUGGGGGAUGAAGGCCUUCGGGUUGUAAACUCCUUUCGCUAGGGAAGAAGCUUUUUUGUGACGGUACCUAGAUAAGAAGCACCGGCUAACUACGUG